Molecule: ribosomal RNA, 420 nt
Filed under: uncultured bacterium
Lineage: Bacteria
Description: bacterial SSU rRNA
Rfam family: Bacterial small subunit ribosomal RNA
Source: RNAcentral
GAGGAAUAUUGGUCAAUGGGCGGAAGCCUGAACCAGCCAUGCCGCGUGCAGGAUGACGGCCCUACGGGUUGUAAACUGCUUUUCCCCGGGAAGAAUAAGCCCCUCGUGAGGGGUGAUGCCGGUACCGGGGGAAUAAGGAUCGGCUAACUCCGUGCCAGCAGCCGCGGUAAUACGGAGGAUCCGAGCGUUAUCCGGAUUUACUGGGUUUAAAGGGUGCGUAGGCGGGCGCCUAAGUCAGCGGUGAAAUGCAGCGGCUCAACCGUUGAACUGCCGUUGAAACUGGGCGCCUUGGAUGCGGUCGAGGCCGGCGGAAUGCGUGGUGUAGCGGUGAAAUGCUUAGAUAUCACGCAGAACGCCAAUUGCGAAGGCAGCUGGCCGGGCCGCAAUCGACGCUGAGGCACGAAAGCGUGGGGAUCAAAC